Molecule: ribosomal RNA, 253 nt
Filed under: uncultured bacterium
Lineage: Bacteria
Description: partial 16S ribosomal RNA
Rfam family: Bacterial small subunit ribosomal RNA
Source: RNAcentral
UACGUAGGGUGCGAGCGUUAAUCGGAAUUACUGGGCGUAAAGCGUGCGCAGGCGGUUCGUUAAGUCAGAUGUGAAAGCCCCGGGCUCAACCUGGGAACUGCAUUUGAAACUGGCGGGCUUGAGUAUGGCAGAGGGGGGUGGAAUUCCGCGUGUAGCAGUGAAAUGCGUAGAGAUGCGGAGGAACACCGAUGGCGAAGGCAGCCCCCUGGGCCAAUACUGACGUUCAGGCACGAAAGCGUGGGGAGCAAACAGG